Long non-coding RNA from Eucalyptus grandis, 926 nucleotides. RefSeq lists it as uncharacterized. The record is from RefSeq and is a predicted model, not a curated record. The transcript has 3 exons. Lineage: Eukaryota; Viridiplantae; Streptophyta; Magnoliopsida; Myrtales; Myrtaceae.
ACAGCAGUUCGAUUAGCAUGAAGAGUUUUGGACCGUUGGAUGACAAGAACUCGAACAUUGUUCAAGCACUCAUAUUAAAGAAUGUCUUGUGUUGGUAAUCUUACUUUGAAGGCUGAAAAUCGGGAGGGAUCCCAGGGUUCUGCUGUUUGAGCACUCCUCAGAUCUGGACCGUGAAGGCUGGCUUUCUUUCAAGGCUCUGCUUGAUCAAUCUCUUAUUUUAAAACAGAAUAAGAAUCUCGUUGGUUAAUCACUCCAUGAUGUCCAUCCAAUCAAGAAGAAGAACCCACUCACUCAGAAGAUCCGAAUUCCAGGGCGUCUUCCUCAUCGAAUUCUCCGCAUGGAGGAGAUCAUGAAGGGGGAGACAAACGGCCGAAAGGGAAUGCCUACGAAGUGUUCUUGAGCUUUAGAGGGAUAGACACACGCAAAAAUUUCACUGAUUAUCUCUAUACUAGUCUUAUCGACGCAGGAAUUCACGUGUGCAGAGACGACAAUGAGCUCCGUGUUGGUGAGGAGAUUGGUCCGGAGCUUCUCUGCAGCAUUACACAGUCCACGAUCUCUAUCCCAAUUAUUUCCGAGAACUACGUUUCCAGCAAAUGGUGCCUUUGUGAGCUAGUUCAGAUGUUAAAGUGCAAAAGGAGUAAAGGGCAAAUAGUGUUGCCCAUAUUUUACAAAAUGGAACCCUCACAAGUGCGACAUCCUACAGGGAGAUUGAGAGAAGCUAUUGAGGCACGUAAAAAAAGAAUACGGAGGAAAUGGUUGUGAAGGAAUGGGAAGAAGCACUCAAAGAAGUCAGCUCCUUGAAAGGAUGGGAAUCGGAGAAAAUUGACAAUGGGUACCUUAUUCUCCAACAAAAUGUUGUUUAAUUUUCAUAAAUAGAUCUUUCCUGAAAAAGAAUAGACAUAUUGCUAUCCUAAAUUGAUAUUCAU